UUGAUCUCUCUCGGCAGCAUCAUUGAUCUCACUUUAUGUCCAAUCAGGAUCUUGUACGAUCUUGUCAUCAUGUUCAAUCUCGAUCACACCACUAGUUUUUCUUGUUCGCCUUUGUGGUCAAUCUCAACUUUGCCAAUGGUGAUUGACGAAAGAGAGAUCUGAGGAAGCAAAACGAAGAGGAGGAACAAGAUAACCAAAUUUGUGAAUAAGAUGCUCGGAAACUAUAUGACCAUCUAUAACCAAAAAGUUAAUCUUUUGGUGGCACGGUUGGAGUGGUGAUUGGGAAGCAUCUGGCUAAAAUAUAUAGGGAGGAGUAUCCAUCUUGACUGAGGAUUAAUAUAGGAAAAAGCAAUCUUCAUGGUCAAGUUAUGUGUGGUGGUGAAGAUGGUGAUAUAUGGAGUGUUUUGAUAUGCAAGAAAGAUCUUGAAUUGGUAGAAUUGUUGCUACUAGACCAACUGUGGUUGAACAGGUAGCAGUUUCUCUCUUUUAUUAUCGCCCAUGCAAGUUCAAAGAAAGAUGAAUGUUCCAAGAUACAAUAAAAUACUUUGUUUUAUAAUUUCAAAUGUGCUGAUAAAAAGUGUUUAUAAGUCAAAUAUUGUGUUUGUGCUGAUGAGGUUCAAGUUUGCCUUCCCACCAAAAUUCAUCAAUUCUUAGACUUUCAUACAUAUAGAUUGUUGCAUGAAUCAACAUGAUUCUUCUAAGUUUCCUAUGAUUUUCAUUUCUUUGUUUAUUUUGACAUUGCCAUUAUUAAUUCCUAAUUUCUUUUUGCAAUCACAUCUUUGAUGAUGUUCUUCAAUAAAAUAAUCUAAAUUGUGGAAAAAUGAUAUGUGAUGCUAACAUAUUGUCAUCAAAUCAACCUGAAAAUAACAACAAUCUAGAUGAUGAAAACUUUGGCCUUGAAGUUUUGAAUAGGAAUAAAUUAUCAUAAUCUAUGAUUUCUUUCCAAGAAGUUACAAGUAUUGAGAGUUUCAGCAUUAUGGUUAAUGGCUGGUUGUUUGACUCAAAACUACUCACUUCAAUGCCAAGCACUAUGAACUCUAUUGUAGUCAAAUAAUGCCUCAUUAUGAGAACCUUUUGAACAUCAAAACUGUCAAUUCAUUGUUGCAGUCAUUUGUGAGACCAUUAAUAUUACUAAUGCCAUUAAUGCUUGCAAGAUCACGAACCCUUUAGUAAAUUUUAGUGUGUGGUAUAAAAGAUUGAAAGGCCUUGAAUGGCUCGGCUUGAAUAUUCAUUUCUUGCAUGAUGGGUUAGAACAACUCAGAGGUUAUGAAUGAGCAUUGCUAGUGCCUAGGUGAGCCUUGUUCAUGAGACAAGAGCCAUUCUAACCUAUCAAGAAUGAAUUGAACAUUCAUGUUAAGCCAUUCAAGACCUUUCAAACUUUAAUUCCACACCAAAAUUUACUGAAGGGGUUGUGAUCUAUUAGGCUUUAAUGGCAUCAAUAAUAUUAACGGUGUCACAAAUGAUUCCAACAACUGAUUGAUGAUUUGAUGUUCAAUAAUAUUCUCAUAAGAAAACAUUCUAUGACUACAAUAGAGUUCAUAGUAAAUUUGCCUUGAGUUGGUUAGGUAGUUUUGAGUCAAGUCAAGUACCAAACCAUUAACCACAAUGCUGAAAUUCUCAAUACUUGUGACUUCUAGGAAAGUGAUAAGAGAUUCUAAUAAUCUAUUCCCAUUCAAAAUUUAAAGGCUAACAUUUUCAUCAUCUAGAUAGUUGUUAUUUUCAUGUUGAUUUGAUGAUGGUAUGCUAGCAUCACAUAUCAUUUUUCCAACAUUUGGAUUACUUUUUUGAGGAACAUCUUCAAAAUGAGAUUGCAAAAUGAAAUUAGGAAUCAAAUAUAGGAAUGUCAAAAUAAACAAAGAAAUGAGAAUCAUAGGAAACUUUGAAUCGUGUUGAUUCAUGCAACCAUCUAAAUGUAGAUGUUUGAGAAUUGAUGAUCUUUGGUAGGAAAGCAAAUUUGAACCUCACUAACACAAACAUGAUAUUUGACUUUUAAAGAGUACUUUUCAUCAUCACAUUUGGAAUUAUAAAAUAAAGCAUAUUAUUGUAUCCAUUAAUAUUCAUCUUUCUUAAACUUGUUUAGGGAACAACAAAAGAGAGAAACCACUACCUAGUCAACAUCACUACUUGGUCGUACUUGAUCGUUGUCCAGCCGUCAUCGUCCAUGCCUUCUAGGCCAAUCAACGCUCGUAGUCAUUGUUAUCAUACCAUUAUUGUUCAGCCUUCAGCGACUCCAGAUCUGUUCUUGUUGCAACUUCAAUUCAAGCCCGUCAUCCCUGUGUAAGGAUGACUACUUCUCGUUCAGAUUGCAUAUUCACAUAGGAGUCUCAUCAAUCAUCUUCGAGUCCCAUCUUUGCUAUGGUUUGAAAGUUCUUUAAGGAUGCAAAAAAGAUAAAUUCUCAAGAAGCUCUAACUCAUUGAUAUGGAAGCUAGGUUGAUACAUGAUUUAUAGAAUAAGUACUUGACUUCCUUGAACUGAUUUUACUGUGAAAGUCUUGCAUGCAAGAAAUAAGCUCUAACUCCUUAUUUAGGAACAAAACCUUGGGAUUCUUUCCCAUAUUGUGCUUUGUGCAUAAAAAGAGAACAAGAAUGUUGAGUUUCACUUGUAGACAUCUUGAUGUAAAACAAGAAGGGGCAAGGGGAACAAAGAGAAGAGAGGUAAAGCGAAAAGAGGGGAAAGGUUGAAACUCUUUGAAACUCUUAUUCAAUAAUACU
Prosopis cineraria is the source of this 2712-nucleotide long non-coding RNA. RefSeq lists it as uncharacterized. The record is from RefSeq and is a predicted model, not a curated record. NCBI's taxonomy places the organism in Eukaryota, Viridiplantae, Streptophyta, Magnoliopsida, Fabales, Fabaceae. The transcript has 4 exons.